This 253-nucleotide ribosomal RNA is filed under the name uncultured bacterium. RNAcentral's name for it is "partial 16S ribosomal RNA". It matches the Rfam family "Bacterial small subunit ribosomal RNA", at positions 524 to 776 of the family's 1533-position model. The record is from RNAcentral.
UACGUAGGGGGCAAGCGUUAUCCGGAUUUACUGGGUGUGAAGGGAGCGUAGACGGCUUUGCAAGCCAGAUGUGAAAGCCCGGGGCUCAACCCCGGGACUGCAUUUGGAACUGUGUGGCUAGAGUGUCGGAGAGGCAGGCGGAACCCCUAGUGUAGCGGUGAAAUGCGUAGAUAUUAGGAGGAACACCAGUGGCGAAGGCGGCCUGCUGGACGAUGACUGACGUUGAGGCUCGAAAGCGUGGGGAGCAAACAGG